GUGACCAUGUUCAACGGCCGCGGUAUCCUAACCGUGCGAAGGUAGCGUAAUCACUUGUCCUUUAAAUGAGGACUAGUAUGAAUGGCAUCACGAAGGUUAUACUGUCUCCUUUCUCUAAUCAGUGAAACUAAUCUUCCCGUGAAGAAGCGGGAAUCCACAUAUAAGACGAGAAGACCCUAUGGAGCUUUAAACGAAAUAACAUCUACCACCACUAAUAUUAACUUCAGAAGAUUAACUACCUUGGUAUUUUGUCUAUUAGUUUUUGGUUGGGGUGACCGCGGAGCAAAAAACAACCUCCGCAUUGAACGGAACUAACCCUUAGCAAAAAGCCACAACUUUAUGUAUCAGCACACUGACAUUAAUUGACCCAAUAAUUUGAUCAACGAACCAAGUUACCCUAGGGAUAACAGCGCAAUCCAUUUCAAGAGCCCCUAUCGACAAAUGGGUUUACGACCUCGAUGUUGGAUCAGGGUCUCCCAGUGGUGCAGCCGCUACUAAAGGUUCGUUUGUUCAACGAUUAAAA
Molecule: ribosomal RNA, 523 nt
Filed under: Proceratophrys melanopogon
Lineage: Eukaryota; Metazoa; Chordata; Amphibia; Anura; Alsodidae
Description: partial 16S ribosomal RNA
Rfam family: Bacterial large subunit ribosomal RNA
Source: RNAcentral